AUCUGCCCUUCACUCUGGGACAAGCCCUGGAAACGGGGUCUAAUACCGGAUAACACUUCCAUCCUCCUGGGUGGAGGUUAAAAGCUCCGGCGGUGAAGGAUGAGCCCGCGGCCUAUCAGCUUGUUGUGGAGGUAAUGGCUCACCAAGGCGACGACGGGUAGCCGGCCUGAGAGGGCGACCGGCCACACUGGGACUGAGACACGGCCCAGACUCCUACGGGAGGCAGCAGUGGGGAAUAUUGCACAAUGGGCGAAAGCCAGAGGCAGCGACGCCGCGUGAGGGAUGACGGCCUUCGGGUUGUAAACCUCUUUCAGCAGGGAAGAAGCGAAAGUGACGGUACCUGCAGAAGAAGCGCCGGCUAACUACGUGCCAGCAGCCGCGGUAAUACGUAGGGCGCAAGCGUUGUCCGGAAUUAUUGGGCGUAAAGAGCUCGUAGGCGGCUUGUCACGUCGGGUGUGAAAGCCCGGGGCUUAACCCCGGGUCUGCAUUCGAUACGGGCU
RNAcentral lists this ribosomal RNA (500 nucleotides) under Streptomyces sp. RNAcentral describes it as "bacterial SSU rRNA". It matches the Rfam family "Bacterial small subunit ribosomal RNA", at positions 124 to 638 of the family's 1533-position model. Lineage: Bacteria; Bacillati; Actinomycetota; Actinomycetes; Kitasatosporales; Streptomycetaceae. The record is from RNAcentral.